AGAGUUUGAUCCUGGCUCAGGACGAACGCUGGCGGCGUGCCUAACACAUGCAAGUCGAGCGGAGACAGUGAGUAGCUUGCUACGAGCUGUUUUAGCGGCGGACGGGUGAGUAACGCGUGAGCAACCUUUCCCAGACAGGGGAAUAACACACCGAAAGGUGUACUAAUACCGCAUAAGACCACGGGAUCACAUGGUUCUGGGGUAAAAGAAUUAUCGGUUUGGGGUGGGCUCGCGUCCGAUUAGGUAGUUGGUGAGGUAACGGCCCACCAAGCCGACGAUCGGUAGCCGACCUGAGAGGGUGAUCGGCCACAUUGGGACUGAGACACGGCCCAAACUCCUACGGGAGGCAGCAGUGGGGAAUAUUGGGCAAUGGAGGAAACUCUGACCCAGCAACGCCGCGUGGAGGAAGAAGGUUUUCGGAUCGUAAACUCCUGUCCUUGGAGACGAGUAGAAGACGGUAUCCAAGGAGGAAGCCCCGGCUAACUACGUGCCAGCAGCCGCGGUAAUACGUAGGGGGCAAGCGUUGUCCGGAAUAAUUGGGCGUAAAGGGCGCGUAGGCGGCUCGGUAAGUCUGGAGUGAAAGUCCUGCUUUUAAGGUGGGAAUUGCUUUGGAUACUGUCGGGCUUGAGUGCAGGAGAGGUUAGUGGAAUUCCCAGUGUAGCGGUGAAAUGCGUAGAGAUUGGGAGGAACACCAGUGGCGAAGGCGACUUACUGGACUGUAACUGACGCUGAGGCGCGAAAGUGUGGGGAGCAAACAGGAUUAGAUACCCUGGUAGUCCACACUGUAAACGAUGAAUGCUAGGUGUAGGGGGAUCGACCCCUUCAGUGCCGCAGUCAACACA
Molecule: ribosomal RNA, 842 nt
Filed under: human gut metagenome
Description: bacterial SSU rRNA
Rfam family: Bacterial small subunit ribosomal RNA
Source: RNAcentral